This 350-nucleotide long non-coding RNA is filed under the name Linum usitatissimum (flax). Its description in RNAcentral is "long non-coding RNA (LUSI_LNC004744)". The record is from RNAcentral. Lineage: Eukaryota; Viridiplantae; Streptophyta; Magnoliopsida; Malpighiales; Linaceae.
AUAGCCCUCCUAUCAAGCGAUCUCCCUCCAUUUAAUCCCCGAUUUCUUCAACUCUAAACCCUAAUCGACUCACUAAUACCUCCGCGCCUCCAAAGAUCGAGUUUCGAUCUUGAAAAGAGCGAAGACCUCAAUCUCCCCGACUCUGUUUCCGACGAACCACAGAGGCUGAGCGUAUGUGACUCCCUGGGGCUGACAAGUCGUCUCUGGGUUAGAUUCAUUUCGAUGUAAGAGAUCGAUUAGCAGGCUAGCCGACUCCUUUUCUUGCUAAGAAACAUAUUAAAGCUUUAGUCGUUUCGAUCUUCAUCUUCUCCGUCAAGCAAUGAUGUUGGAGACGGAGGAUCCAAAGAUAC